AGCAGUCGCCGCGGGAAUACGUAGGUGGCAAGCGUUGUCCGGAAUUAUUGGGCGUAAAGGGCUCGCAGGCGGUUUCUUAAGUCUGAUGUGAAAGCCCCCGGCUCAACCGGGGAGGGUUAUUGGAAACUGGGAAACUUGAGUGCAGAAGAGGAGAGUGGAAUUCCACGUGUAGCGGUGAAAUGCGUAGAGAUGUGGAGGAACACCAGUGGCGAAGGCGACUCUCUGGUCUGUAACUGACGCUGAGGAGCGAAAGCGUGGGGAGCGAACAGGAUUAGAUACCCCCGUAGUCCCUGUCUCUUAUAC
RNAcentral lists this ribosomal RNA (303 nucleotides) under uncultured bacterium. Its description in RNAcentral is "partial 16S ribosomal RNA". It matches the Rfam family "Bacterial small subunit ribosomal RNA", at positions 507 to 807 of the family's 1533-position model. The record is from RNAcentral.